GAUCCUGGCUCAGGACGAACGCUGGCGGCGUGCUUAACACAUGCAAGUCGAACGAGAAUCUACGGAUCGAGGAUUCGUCCAAGAGAAGUAGAGGACAGUGGCGGACGGGUGAGUAACGCGUGAGGAACCUGCCUUUCAGAGGGGGACAACAGUUGGAAACGACUGCUAAUACCGCAUGACACAUUGGGGUCGCAUGGCCUUGAUGUCAAAGAUUUAUCGCUGAAAGAUGG
RNAcentral lists this ribosomal RNA (230 nucleotides) under uncultured bacterium. Its description in RNAcentral is "partial 16S ribosomal RNA". It matches the Rfam family "Bacterial small subunit ribosomal RNA", at positions 15 to 228 of the family's 1533-position model. The record is from RNAcentral.